AGCCCCAGUGGACUUUUGCUGCAGGCUCAUGGUUCCUGCAGGCAGAUUAGCCCUGUCCCUUUUCUUGCUACUGACAUCAGCUCCCCUCGUUUUGGUGCAGCCUGAACAGUGUCAACAGCAGUGACUCCCGGUCCAGCGGCUCCCACUCGCAUUCCCCCAGCUCACAUUACCGCUACCGCAGCUCCAACCUGGCCCAGCAGGCUCCUGUGAGGCUGUCCAGCGUGUCCUCCCACGACUCAGGAUUCAUAUCCCAGGAUGCCUUCCAGUCCAAGUCACCAUCCCCCAUGCCGCCAGAGGCCCCCAACCAGUUGUCUAACGGGUUUUCUCACUAUAGUUUAUCAAGUGAGUCCCACGUGGGGCCCACGGGUGCAGGCCUUUUCCCUCAUUGCCUGCCUGCCUCCCGCCUGCUCCCUCGGGUCACCUCUGUCCACCUUCCAGACUACGCUCAUUAUUACACCAUUGGGCCCGGCAUGUUCCCGUCAUCUCAGAUCCCUAGCUGGAAGGACUGGGCUAAGCCUGGGCCCUAUGACCAGCCUCUGGUGAACACCCUGCAGCGCCGCAAAGAGAAGCGAGAACCAGACCCCAACGGGGGAGGACCCACUACCGUCAGCGGCCCACCUGCAGCAGCUGAGGAGGCUCAGAGACCACGGAGCAUGACUGUAUCGGCUGCCACCAGGCCUGGUGAGGAGAUGGAGGCUUGUGAGGAGCUGGCCCUGGCCCUGUCUCGGGGCCUGCAGCUGGACACCCAGAGGAGCAGCCGGGACUCGCUUCAGUGCUCCAGCGGCUACAGCACCCAGACAACCACCCCCUGCUGCUCUGAGGACACCAUCCCUUCCCAAGUUUCAGAUUAUGAUUAUUUCUCUGUAAGUGGUGACCAGGAGGCAGAUCAGCAGGAGUUCGACAAGUCCUCCACCAUUCCAAGAAACAGCGACAUCAGCCAGUCCUACCGACGGAUGUUCCAAGCCAAGCGUCCAGCCUCAACUGCUGGCCUCCCCACCACCCUGGGACCUGCUAUGGUCACUCCAGGGGUUGCAACUAUCCGACGGACCCCUUCCACCAAGCCUUCUGUCCGCCGGGGAACCAUUGGAGCUGGUCCCAUCCCCAUCAAGACACCCGUGAUCCCUGUCAAGACCCCAACCGUCCCAGACCUCCCAGGGGUGUUGCCAGCCCCUCCAGAUGGGCCAGAAGAGCGGGGGGAGCACAGCCCUGAGUCGCCAUCUGUGGGUGAGGGCCCCCAAGGUGUCACCAGCAUGCCCUCCUCAAUGUGGAGCGGCCAAGCUUCCGUUAACCCUCCACUUCCAGGCCCGAAGCCCAGUAUCCCUGAGGAGCACAGACAGGCAAUUCCAGAAAGCGAAGCUGAAGACCAGGAACGGGAACCCCCAAGUGCCACUGUCUCCCCAGGCCAGAUUCCAGAGAGUGACCCUGCACACCUGAGCCCAAGGGAUACUCCACAAGGAGAAGACAUGCUGAACGCCAUCCGAAGGGGCGUGAAACUGAAGAAGACCACGACAAACGAUCGCUCGGCCCCUCGCUUCUCUUAGGCUCACAAGAAAUGCACCGGUGGGGAAUGAACUGUUUCAUUAAUAAAACCUAAUUUGUCUUGAUCCAUUCCAAUCUAUAAUAAAAGAUUUUGUAGGC
RNAcentral lists this small RNA (1638 nucleotides) under Pan troglodytes (chimpanzee). RNAcentral's name for it is "processed transcript". The record is from RNAcentral. Lineage: Eukaryota; Metazoa; Chordata; Mammalia; Primates; Hominidae.